This 376-nucleotide unclassified non-coding RNA is filed under the name uncultured Terriglobia bacterium. RNAcentral describes it as "uncultured Acidobacteriia bacterium contains 16S-23S intergenic spacer region". The record is from RNAcentral. Lineage: Bacteria; Pseudomonadati; Acidobacteriota; Terriglobia.
UCUCCAUUGUCUGGAGCAGUCCACGUAGAGUUCCCCCUUGCGGGUGGCAACUACGUGUAAGGGUUGCGCUCGUUGCGGGACUUAACCCAACACCUCACGGCACGAGCUGACGACAGCCAUGCAGCGCCUCCACACUUGUCCCUUGCGGGAAGGCCGUGUUUCCACAGCUUGUCAAGUGCGCUUCGAGCCCAGGUAAGGUUCCUCGCGUAGCGUCGAAUUGAACCACAUGUUCCACCGCUUGUGCGGGCCCCCGUCAAUUCCUUUGAGUUUCAGUCUUGCGACCGUACUCCCCAGGCGCAGGACUUAACGCGUUAGCUCCGGGACGUCCCGAGUAAUCGGGACACCCCAAGUCCUGAUCGUUUAGGGCUAGGACUAC